This 423-nucleotide ribosomal RNA is filed under the name uncultured bacterium. RNAcentral's name for it is "partial 16S ribosomal RNA". It matches the Rfam family "Bacterial small subunit ribosomal RNA", at positions 359 to 774 of the family's 1533-position model. The record is from RNAcentral.
GAAUUUUGGACAAUGGGCGAAAGCCUGAUCCAGCAAUGCUGCGUGCAGGAUGAAGGCCUUCUGGUUGUAAACUUCUUUUGUACGGAACGGAAAUCCUUUGGUUAAUACCCUGGAGUCAUGACGGAAUCGUAAGAAUAUGCACCGGCUACAUCCGUGGCAGCAGCCGCGGUAAUACGUAGGGUGUAAGCGUUAAUCGGAAUUACUGGGCGUAAAGCGUGCGCAGGCGGUUUUGUAAGACAGAGGUGAAAUCCCCGGGCUCAACCUGGGAACCGACUUUGUGACUGAAAGGCUAGAGUACGGCAGAGGGGGGUGGAAUUCCGCGUGUAGCAGUGAAAUGCGUAGAUAUGCGGAGGAACACCGAUGGAGAAGGCAACCCCCUGGGCCUGUACUGACGCUCAUGCACGAAAGCGUGGGGAGCAAACA